Molecule: transfer RNA, 106 nt
Filed under: Candidatus Woesearchaeota archaeon
Lineage: Archaea; Nanobdellati; Candidatus Woesearchaeota
Description: tRNA-Met
Rfam family: tRNA
About the family: Transfer RNA (tRNA) molecules are approximately 80 nucleotides in length. Their secondary structure includes four short double-helical elements and three loops (D, anti-codon, and T loops). Further hydrogen bonds mediate the characteristic L-shaped molecular structure. tRNAs have two regions of fundamental functional importance: the anti-codon, which is responsible for specific mRNA codon recognition, and the 3' end, to which the tRNAs corresponding amino acid is attached (by aminoacyl-tRNA synthetases). tRNAs cope with the degeneracy of the genetic code in two manners: having more than one tRNA (with a specific anti-codon) for a particular amino acid; and 'wobble' base-pairing, i.e. permitting non-standard base-pairing at the 3rd anti-codon position.
Source: RNAcentral
AGCGCGGUGGGACAGCCAGGAGUGUCCGUCGGGCUCAUAACCCGAAUAUGGUUUAAAGAAAUUUAAAUCGUCGGUUUGGUCGGUAGUUCAAAUCUACCCCGCGCUA